AGCGAACGCUGGCGGCGUGCCUAACACAUGCAAGUCGAACGUGAAAAGGGAAACCUGAGUACAGUGGCGUACGGGUGAGUAACGCGUAGGUAAUCUACCCCAGAAUCUGGAAUAACCUGCCGAAAGUCGGGCUAAUACUGGAUAGAGCGAGGGAACUCGUAAGAGAGUUUUUCGGGAAAGGGAGCCCGCAAGGGCCUUCGUUCUGGGAUGAGCCUGCGUCUCAUUAGCUAGUUGGUAAGGUAACGGCUUACCAAGGCGAUGAUGAGUAGCUGGUCUGAGAGGAUGAUCAGCCACACUGGAACUGAAACACGGUCCAGACUCCGACGGGAGGCAGCAGUGGGGAAUCUUGCGCAAUGGACGGAAGGCUGACGCAGCCAAGCCGGGUGAGUGAAGAAGGGCGUCGGGUUGGAAAGCUCUGGCGGAUGGGACGAAAAUAGUCAGAGUGAAUAGCUAUGAGGACUGACGGUACCAUAAAAGGAAGCACCGGCUAACUCCGUG
RNAcentral lists this ribosomal RNA (498 nucleotides) under uncultured bacterium. Its description in RNAcentral is "partial 16S ribosomal RNA". It matches the Rfam family "Bacterial small subunit ribosomal RNA", at positions 29 to 507 of the family's 1533-position model. The record is from RNAcentral.